RNAcentral lists this ribosomal RNA (253 nucleotides) under uncultured bacterium. RNAcentral's name for it is "partial 16S ribosomal RNA". It matches the Rfam family "Bacterial small subunit ribosomal RNA", at positions 524 to 776 of the family's 1533-position model. The record is from RNAcentral.
UACGUAGGGGGCAAGCGUUGUCCGGAAUCAUUGGGCGUAAAGCGCGCGUAGGUGGCCCGGUAAGUCCGCUCUGAAAGUCAAAGGCUCAACCUUUGAAAGCGGGUGGAUACUGUCGGGCUAGAGUCCGGAAGAGGCGAGUGGAAUUCCUGGUGUAGCGGUGGAGUGCGCAGAUAUCAGGAGGAACACCAACGGCGAAGGCAGCUCGCUGGGACGGUACUGACGCUAAGGCGCGAAAGCGUGGGGAGCGAACAGG